RNAcentral lists this small RNA (641 nucleotides) under Danio rerio (zebrafish). RNAcentral describes it as "gas5-009". The stretch from base 64 to 148 matches the Rfam family "Small nucleolar RNA snR60/Z15/Z230/Z193/J17". The record is from RNAcentral. Lineage: Eukaryota; Metazoa; Chordata; Actinopteri; Cypriniformes; Danionidae.
GAUGUCUGCAUGUGGCCAAUCGUUUCAGGUGAGUCUUAGUCUGCCAUAUAACCAUCCUAAAAUGUGAUGCAGAUGAUGACUGCAUAGUUCAGCAGAAACUCCAUGUAGAACACAGAGCAAUGUCUUUCGCUCCUAGCUGAUGCAUCACCAUGCAAAAAUUGGUCUAUAUUUGAAGCUUAUUUGCUCUAAUGUCUAGUUUUUGUGUUGCAGAUUUUCUGACUUAAAAUGGAGAUGAAUGACCCGUCAUUAAAGUAGUCUUCAUGGUGAGUGCACAUUUAAAGUGUUGUAACCGAAGCAAAAGUGGUCUCAAGCUGAUGAGUGUGAAUCAGGUCUCUGAUCUCAUUGAGGACAUGGAAGCAUUUCUGAUUUAAGACUGAUUAGAAGUGAGCUUUACCACCUCAAGCUAGGUAGAUUUUAAUGGGUUGAAUCUUGUUUUAGGACUCCCAUCCAGUAUCUUCAUGACUGCCAUCCUUGUACAGUGGCCAGCUCUCCAUAGUGCAAUAUGAAGAAUGUUACUUGGAGGUGUCCAAAGGGCUUCAGCCUCUGCAGUUUUGAAAAGGGAUGAAGUUGAGUUCAUCUGGUUGACUUUUUGGGUGAAGUUUCAGUUGCCCCUCCCUUUGUUCAAAGGGCCUCAUCCUCUG